GUGCCUGUAGCUCAGCAGGAUAGAGCAACUGCCUUCUAAGCAGUAGGUUGGGGGUUCGAGUCCCUCCAGGCACGCCA
This 77-nucleotide transfer RNA is filed under the name Clostridiaceae bacterium. Its description in RNAcentral is "tRNA-Arg". It matches the Rfam family "tRNA". Rfam says of the family: Transfer RNA (tRNA) molecules are approximately 80 nucleotides in length. Lineage: Bacteria; Bacillati; Bacillota; Clostridia; Eubacteriales; Clostridiaceae. RNAcentral also lists the same sequence under 4 other names. The record is from RNAcentral.